AUGAGCUGUAAUAACCUUGUAAUAUGUGCAAAUGUCUGUCCAAAUUCAGAAAUCCCCAGCUGUGUGGCUGCCUUCAUUCACAGAGGGCAGUUGUGCUGGGGAGGGGUGCAGCAUCGGCAUGCUUGUGGAGUGAGUGAGCCCUGUCCUCCACCUCUCAUUGACUCUCAUUGCCUAACUCCCUUGUGUCUUGGCCUCAGGUUGAUAAUCUGGGGCUACCACCAGCCCCUGGAGAGCAGUGGCCUCUGGUCCUUAAACAAGGAGGACACGGUGGAACAAGUCAUGCCUGUUUUGGUAAAGAACUGGAAGAAGAAAUGUACCAAGUCUAGGAAGGGUCAUGGGCAUCAGUGGUCCAGGGAAGGAAGCAAAGCAAAUGGAGAAUGGCAUGUUGUGACAGACAGUACGGGGAAGCAACUACAGAGACAGCUCAGCAGCUCCUCCUCCUAUAGCAGGGACAUCAGUAGGCACCGUAACAGCACCACAGAGCUGCAGAAAGCCAAAGCCAAGAAGGAGGAGACUUGGAAGCUGAUGGAGGCUGAAAUGGCACAGACAGGGCAGGUGAGAUUUGCUCCUUCAGUGAUGAUGGUGGCUGCAGCUUACAGAGCACCCACUGUGCAAAGUGCUUGUCUAUAAUAUACCAUAAAGGUACUAUUUACUGCACUGGAAACUGAGGCCAGAGAUGUUUAGUGACUUACCCAAGGUCACUGCUUUUCAGGGAUACAGACACUCACUACCACGCCCAGUUAAUUUUUGUCUUUUUAAUAGAGACAGGACUUCACCAUGUUGGCCAGGCUGGUCUUGAACUCCUGGGCUCAUCUUCCCUCACCUUCCCAAAAUACUAGGAUUAGAGGUGUGAGCCAUCACACCUGACCUGUUUUUCAUUUCUCAUUUAGUCCUUAUGAUUUUGUCCCUGAGAAAGUCUCAGUUGGGUCCUAGCCUGCUUUCAGUACCUAACAGCUGCUAGCCUCUCUUUGUAACAAGGAGAGUGGGUUUCGAGCUCCUGUUUUAUUUUGUUUAUUUUUUAAAGAUCAUCUAUUUUGGGCAAGUGUUAAUAGUUCUCCAUUUAUGGUAGUGAUUCAGAGGUUUUUUUUUUUUUUUGAGACGGAGUUUCAAAAAACCACCGCACCUGGCCUCAAAGUUCAUUUUUAAAAAUAAAUGUGGGCCGGGCAUGGUGGCUCAAGCCUGUAAUCCCAGCACUUUGGGAGGCCGAAGCGGGUGGAUCACAAGGUCAAGAGAUCGAGACCGCCGG
RNAcentral lists this long non-coding RNA (1246 nucleotides) under Saimiri boliviensis boliviensis (Bolivian squirrel monkey). Its description in RNAcentral is "lncRNA (ENSSBOG00000036552.1)". The record is from RNAcentral. Lineage: Eukaryota; Metazoa; Chordata; Mammalia; Primates; Cebidae.